This is a long non-coding RNA of Ictalurus punctatus (channel catfish), 1897 nucleotides long. RefSeq lists it as uncharacterized. The record is from RefSeq and is a predicted model, not a curated record. NCBI's taxonomy places the organism in Eukaryota, Metazoa, Chordata, Actinopteri, Siluriformes, Ictaluridae. The transcript is spliced from 4 exons.
GAACCAAACUUGAAUUUACAGAAAAGGGGAAGACCAACCUCAGCACAAAAACAAAUAAACAAAGAAAACAAAAAACAAAGGGCAGUUCCAGGGGGGUAGUCUAGAAAGCAAGGUUAACCGUAACAUAAACCCUGAACUCUCGGUUGAUUAACCCAAACCUUGCUUACUCGGAGUAUGUCGGUUCCACAUCACCUAUAGGAGUAAGUUCAAUAAACAUCCUACUCGUAACUCGGAGUUAAUGCGCGUGCACGGCGGGUACUUAAAGACAUAAUGAGCUGCAUACUUCAGCGAAGCAGAGUUAGAGGCUUUAAUGCGUGCUUAUGAGGAAUGUAAGCCAUUUACAACAAUUUUUUUUUUUUUUUACUGCUGCAUCGGACAGAGAGUUGGCUUGGAAAAAAGUAACGCAUCAAUUGCUGAUAGACAUAUUGUAUUAACUGACCCUCCUGCAACAGCACAUCCUGCCACAGUUUUAAAGGAUUAUUGUCUUCAGGAGCUGUAGCCUAUAAGAUCCAUCUUCAAAUGCAAAAUAGAAAAAGUGACCUGUAGAUGAACCUUUACAACAUGAAAUGGAGGGAAAAAAGAAAACAAAGAAACAAUGAACCUCAACUCUUCACUUUGUGCACUAGGCAUUUAAUUAGAAAUGAUGUGGGCAGAUCACAUCAUCUAACACCCUGCACUCUCUUUGGUUCACUGGGGUUCCUCUUGCCAUCUUCACCGAUGGUUCAUCAUGGUUUAUGGCCAGGGAACUGCACACAAUCGUGUACUGGACUGGACUGUACUGUAUGAAUGGUUCUACACACCGGUGCCAUUUCCACACGCUCUGUAUCACGCACGUUAUAUACAGAAAUCUCCCUGUGGCAAAAAAAAGAAAUGAAGGGCAAUGCAUAAAAUGUGCUCGGUGUUAAGUGCUGAUCCACGAUGUGUCAUGUUGGUGAUGUGAGGUUUCAAAAUAUGAGAAAGAUUUGAUAUAAUCCGUGCUUCCUCGCUCACUGGAUCUUCUUCAAAAGGGCACGCCAUGUGCCGUCAGCUCUCUGAAACAAUCUAACCCUGGAACAGAACCUGCUCCGGACCAAUGUUAUGUUCAGAGAGGAAGUUGCUAUGGCAACUUACAUACCCUGAGAGUUACCUCCGUUUUUGGAACCGAAAGUUGAGGUUAUCCGUUAACUCUUGAGUAAAUGCACCCAGGUAAAUCGCACAUCCUGCUUUCAGAAUACCCACUGGUCCUUUAAAAACAGUAUUAACUGAAAGUGCAUUGUCCAGCCACAAGAUGGCGCCAGCUUCAAAGCACUGCUGGUACACCGGCAACAAAUGUACUUCCUGGUGUUCGCAUCUCAUUUGGCAAGCUAUUUAGACUACCACCGGUCUAAAAGUAAUAAAUUAGCUACUAAGGCGAAUAAAUUUGUAUUAAAGACACACAAUUGUAACACACAAACUGAAAUUUAAGCAAAGAUUUAUUUAUGAGGAGCUAUUGUUUUCCGUUGGUUUCACCUCAUGUGACCUUUAGCUCCAUAGCAUCUAUGUCCAUAUGUUAAUUGAAGAAAAACAACAAACACACAGUGUAGUCCAUUCCUGAGUUAUCAUGACUUUACCAUACUCCCUGUAGUGAAUAGGCUAUUCCUGUACAACUACAUUCACUAGCAAUACAUCUACUGAAUAAUGGGGUUUGCUAUACAUCUGUCUGUAUCGUGGGGUUCUCUAUACAUCUAUCUGUAUAGUGGGGUUCGCUAUACAUCUGUCUGUAUAGUGGGGUUUGCUAUACAUCUGUAUAGUGGGGUUCUCUAUACAUCUAUCUGUGUAGUGGGGUUCUCUAUACAUCUGUCUGUAUAGAGCGGUUCGCUAUACAUCUGUCUGUAUAGUGGGGUUUGCUAUACAUCUAUCUGUAUAGUGGAGGUCUCUA